GGAAGUAAAAGUCGUAACAAGGUCUCCGUUGGUGAACCAGCGGAGGGAUCAUUGCUGGAACGCGCCUCGGCGCACCCAGAAACCCUUUGUGAACUUAUACCUUACUGUUGCCUCGGCGCAGGCCGGCCCCCUUCUGGGGGCCCCUCGUUCCUGACGAGGAGCAGGCUCGCCGGCGGCCAAGUUAACUCUUGUUUUUAUUGUGAAACUCUGAGAAUAAAACAUAAAUGGAUCAAAACUUUCAACAACGGAUCUCUUGGUUCUGGCAUCGAUGAAGAACGCAGCGAAAUGCGAUAAGUAAUGUGAAUUGCAGAAUUCAGUGAAUCAUCGAAUCUUUGAACGCACAUUGCGCCCUCUGGUAUUCCGGAGGGCAUGCCUGUUCGAGCGUCAUUUCAACCCUCAAGCCUGGCUUGGUGAUGGGGCACUGCCUUGUGUAAAAACGAGGCAGGCCCUGAAAUUCAGUGGCGAGCUCGCCAGGACUCCGAGCGCAGUAGUUAAACCCUCGCUUUGGAAGGACUGGCGGUGCCCUGCCGUUAAACCCCCAACUCUUGAAAAUUUGACCUCGGAUCAGGUAGGAAUACCCGCUGAACUUAAGCAUAUCAAUAAGCGGAGGA
This 611-nucleotide ribosomal RNA is filed under the name Diaporthe amygdali. RNAcentral describes it as "eukaryotic LSU rRNA". The stretch from base 234 to 387 matches the Rfam family "5.8S ribosomal RNA". The record is from RNAcentral. Lineage: Eukaryota; Fungi; Ascomycota; Sordariomycetes; Diaporthales; Diaporthaceae.